This 331-nucleotide ribosomal RNA is filed under the name uncultured bacterium. RNAcentral's name for it is "partial 16S ribosomal RNA". It matches the Rfam family "Bacterial small subunit ribosomal RNA", at positions 338 to 666 of the family's 1533-position model. The record is from RNAcentral.
CCUACGGGAGGCAGCAGUGAGGAAUAUUGGUCAAUGGGCGCGAGCCUGAACCAGCCAAGUAGCGUGAAGGAUGACUGCCCUACGGGUUGUAAACUUCUUUUAUACGGGAAUAAAGUCCGGUACGUGUGUCUUUUUGUAUGUACUUUACGAAUAAGGAUCGGCUAACUCCGUGCCAGCAGCCGCGGUAAUACGGAGGAUCCGAGCGUUAUCCGGAUUUAUUGGGUUUAAAGGGUGCGUAGGUGGGUUGUUAAGUUAGUUGUGAAAUUUUGGGGCUCAACCGUGAAAUUGCAAUUAAUACUGGCAGACUUGAGUAUAGUUGAGGUAGGCGGAA